AAACAUUUCCCCUUGCAUUAUUCGUACUAAACAAUGCCAUCGUCUAAAUAUACCACAAAGAGGCGGUAUCUAUUCUACAUUUUGUAAUAUAUUUAUUGAAACCGAGUAAUUGUACAUUUUAAUUUUAGUGUUAUUACUUGGACACAAAGCCCAAUAUAUGUGCGAUGACAAUCUGCAUAUUCUUAUUUUAGUAAUUUAGAUUCAAAAUCUCGAUAUAGGCGGUGGUCACAAGAAGUUUUAUGUAUUUAACUCGUAUUUUCUUUCAUCAAAAGUAUGAAUCAUUAAAUGAUAACACAACUUAAACGUAAAAACAAAGGAACAUUUUGAUAAAUAAUUUUACUCUUGUUACUUAGAUAUAAAGCCGAGUAUAUGUGCUAUGACAAUCUGCAUAUUUCAUUUAAGUAACUCAGAUUUAAAAUCUUGAUAUAGGCGGAGGUCACAAGAACGUUUGUGUAUUGAACUCGAAUUUCUUUCUUCAAAAGUAUGAAACAUUAAAAGAACUUAGAAGUAAAAACAAAGGGACAUAUUGAUAAAUAAACAUCCACAUGACGCCACGGGAAAUCAAUUCAUCGCGUACAAUAUUAUUACCAAAUUACCCAAAUCAUUAUUUCACAAUUGUAAACCACUGUCACGUUCCAGUAAUUGAUUAUGCCUGUUAUAUCAUUAUGACCGUAUACGCUGAUGAGCUAUUGUUCCUAAUGGACAUUUGUGUUGUAGACAGAAACAUCAGUUGAAACACUAGGCCUUGAAGGCGCAAUACAAAUUCAAUCGUGCAGUUUCUGUGUGUUUUUUUGUUGGUUGUUUUGAAGAAUUAGGUGAUGACGACAUAUCUUUUGGAGUCUCUGUAUGUAUAUGGUCAAGAGGCAAUCAGAAACCAUGUAUGGAGGAAGACAGAUAAUACUAUGACCAACAAGAAUGUAGCAUAAAGACAAAUCCAAAAAUAUCAUACAGAAAUGGAGGAAAACAGAUAAUACUAUGACCAACAAGAAUGUAGCACAAAGACAAGUCCACAAAUAUCAUACAGAAAUGGAGGAAAACAUAUAAUACUUUGACCAACAAGAAUAUAGCACAAAGACAAGUCCACAAAUAUCGUACAGAAAUUUAAAGAUGGAUUUAAAUGAAACUCUCUUAGAUUCAUAUUGUCAUAAUGUAUUUCCUAGUUGAUAAAUGUAAUUUUGUUUUGGUUUUUCCUUUUGGAAAAUUAAAGUUUAUAAUUG
Mytilus californianus (California mussel) is the source of this 1217-nucleotide long non-coding RNA. RefSeq lists it as uncharacterized. The record is from RefSeq and is a predicted model, not a curated record. NCBI's taxonomy places the organism in Eukaryota, Metazoa, Mollusca, Bivalvia, Mytilida, Mytilidae. The transcript has 2 exons.